RNAcentral lists this long non-coding RNA (628 nucleotides) under Brassica rapa (field mustard). RNAcentral's name for it is "long non-coding RNA (BRAP_LNC000217)". Lineage: Eukaryota; Viridiplantae; Streptophyta; Magnoliopsida; Brassicales; Brassicaceae. The record is from RNAcentral.
AAAGCGCAAGUUGUAGCAAUAUGGAAAUUACAAAGAUGAUUUCAAAUCCACAAUCAUGAAUAUCCGGUCAAUGACGUUUGGCUUUAGCAUAUGUUAUGCAUUAGGCUUUUAUCCUCGCCGGUCCUGAGAUUUUAAGAACCAUAAACAUUAUAUUUGACAUAUCUAAUCGACGGAAUGUGUCUCCGAAGCCAAAUAACCAAGCAUUUUAGUUGGUUAAUAAUAAAAUGGGACAUGCUUAUUGUCUUUUUUACUAAUCCAGUACUCUCUUUUUUUUUUUGAUCAAAACUAAUCCAGUACUCUAGUUGGGCUUCUAUCACUGAAUUGAUCAUAUGCACAGAACUUUCAUUCAACCAGCAAAAUAACUAAAACUGGGGCUAAUAUAAUUUCAUAUUUUGAUUGUUGUUUUAUUGGGAAACAAAAGGAUAUUCUUCUUAAUAGCGGAGAUAUGCCUAUUAGCUGGAUCGGUAGAGAAUGCAUACCACACAAAGUACAGGACAAUGUUCAUGGACAAUCCUCCUGAUUGUCAAACUCUUCGCAAGGGUGUCUUCGCUGCGGGUGCCUCCUUUGUCUUCUUCAACGCCAUUGUCUCUCAGUUCUAUUAUUUCUUCUACUCCUCUGCUGCUGACGC